Molecule: ribosomal RNA, 254 nt
Filed under: uncultured bacterium
Lineage: Bacteria
Description: partial 16S ribosomal RNA
Rfam family: Bacterial small subunit ribosomal RNA
Source: RNAcentral
UACGGGGGGAGCAAGCGUUGUUCGGAUUUACUGGGCGUAAAGGGCGCGUAGGCGGUCAGCACAAGUCAGCUGUGAAAUCUCCGGGCUUAACCCGGAAAGGUCAGCCGAUACUGCGGGGCUAGAGUGCAGAAGGGGCAACUGGAAUUCUCGGUGUAGCGGUGAAAUGCGUAGAUAUCGAGAGGAACACCUGCGGCGAAGGCGGGUUGCUGGGCUGACACUGACGCUGAUGCGCGAAAGCUAGGGGAGCGAACGGG